AUGCAGAAAUCAGCCACCUUCCUCCUUCCUCUCACCAGCAGCUGCAGACCAGAGCUGCUUCUAGUCGGCCAACUUGGCCCCUCCCCACAGAGAAAUGAGGUACGGGGGAGAGAAACACCUACUUGGAAAGCACCUACACAACUGAAUUGGAAAAUGUGGAAAGGGGAUUGGGGAAGGGGGACUCUUCUUGACAUCGGGCUCCAGUGCUUACAGCAAAGGGAACUUGGGCAAGUUACAGAUUCUCUGUGCCUUGGUUUCUUCAUCAGCAAAACAGAAUCAUCCCAUAAACUGUAAGGUCCGUGGUAUCAGAGUGUCCCCAAACUGACUGCACAUCUGAGUCAUGUUAACAAACACAUUCCAGGCCCCACCUGAGGGCACUGAAUCAGAAUCCCUGCAAGGAGGACACUGGACAUCUAUUUGCACUGACCUUCCAGGUGUUUCUUACUUUGGUCAACUUGCGGGUAGGAAUCAUUGAGCUCCAUCACAUCAUUCCAAAGCCAAAACACAAAAGCAGAACAAGAAUGUAUUCAAUGCAGUCUCUAAAGAGGAGAAAACUGUUGGGGGAACCUAGAAGUGAAGGAGACAUGCCUUGCUGGGCUCCAUCUUAACUUUAUCCUGAGUAUGGCAGAGACACGAGCCCUUCGGGACACAUGCCUGAGGCAGUGACAGUCCAACCUUGGAACAGUGGAAGCCCUAGUUUCAAAUUCAAGCUUGCUUUGAGUAGAUGUUAAGUUUACAUCUUUUUGCAUGGCAACAGGGCCAACUUUCUCCAAGCUGCUCAACUUACAAGAAAAGGAAUCGUACUGCUAAGACUUCAAACUUCAGCAGACUUGGGUAAGUAAGUCUUAUAAAUCUGUUCUAGCCGCCUAACAAGAAACCAGAAAUUUAGCAAGUUCUUUUUCAUUCAGGACAAUUGUGUUCACUAGAUCAGAAGCACUGAGACAUGAAGAAAAGACCCCCUAAAAAGGGAAAGCAUUCCUUCCUGCUCUAGGACAUCCCUGCCAACUUCAGGGAGGUUGGAACACAGCUGCCCACUCUACAGUAUGGUUUGCUUUUGUGUCUGGAGAGUGUCUGACAUCCUGAGACCUGGACCCAUUUCAGAGAGCUUUGAGAAGAGCCUGAAUCACUGGUG
RNAcentral lists this long non-coding RNA (1132 nucleotides) under Macaca mulatta (Rhesus monkey). RNAcentral's name for it is "lncRNA (ENSMMUG00000056275.1)". The record is from RNAcentral. Lineage: Eukaryota; Metazoa; Chordata; Mammalia; Primates; Cercopithecidae.